GAAGGUCACGGCGAGACGAGCCGUUUAUCAUUACGAUAGGUGCCAAGUGGAAGUGCAGUGAUGUAUGCAGCUGAGGCAUCCUAACAGACCGGUAGACUUGAACCUUGUUCCUACAUGACCCGAUCAAUUCGAUCGGGCACUCGCCAUCUAUUUUCAUUGUUCCACUCUUUAACAACACGAAAAAACCAUUGUUCAACUCUUUGACAACAUGAAAAACCAAAAGCUCUGCCCUCCCUCUCUAUCUAUCCAAGGGAUGGAAGGGCAG
This 265-nucleotide ribosomal RNA is filed under the name Silphium perfoliatum. Its description in RNAcentral is "4.5S ribosomal RNA". Lineage: Eukaryota; Viridiplantae; Streptophyta; Magnoliopsida; Asterales; Asteraceae. The record is from RNAcentral.